This 364-nucleotide long non-coding RNA is filed under the name Elaeis guineensis (African oil palm). RNAcentral's name for it is "long non-coding RNA (EGUI_LNC013387)". Lineage: Eukaryota; Viridiplantae; Streptophyta; Magnoliopsida; Arecales; Arecaceae. The record is from RNAcentral.
GGGGUGGCCUUUGCGGAUGCUCAAUAGGUUCACUUGGACCUAUAUACCAAAUUAAAGAAUCAGGACUCCUUAUUUGAAUAAUCUAGAAUUCGACUCCAUCCAUUCGAGUCAGUGAUAUCGAGUGGUGGAGGUAUUGGGUAUAUAUGUUUAUCCGACGAUUUGAACAAUGGCAUCCGAUCAUUAGCAAGCAAAAAAGACUUGCCUCAUAAUUCAUGAGACGAUUGCACUGCUACAGCUCAUGUGGUACAUGAUUUACAGAAACAAUUGGAUGAUAUCCAGCCAACAAUUCGCAUGGUGUGUCUCAUGGCAAGCUACAAAUUCAGGUACAUGUAUCUACAAAGUUAAACCAUGUUCUAUGAAGCCA